GUUAAGCGACUAAGCGUACACGGUGGAUGCCCUGGCAGUCAGAGGCGAUGAAGGACGUGCUAAUCUGCGAUAAGCGUCGGUAAGGUGAUAUGAACCGUUAUAACCGGCGAUUUCCGAAUGGGGAAACCCAGUGUGUUUCGACACACUAUCAUUAACUGAAUCCAUAGGUUAAUGAGGCGAACCGGGGGAACUGAAACAUCUAAGUACCCCGAGGAAAAGAAAUCAACCGAGAUUCCCCCAGUAGCGGCGAGCGAACGGGGAGCAGCCCAGAGCCUGAAUCAGUGUGUGUGUUAGUGGAAGCGUCUGGAAAGGCGCGCGAUACAGGGUGACAGCCCCGUACACAAAAAUGCACAUGCUGUGAGCUCGAUGAGUAGGGCGGGACACGUGGUAUCCUGUCUGAAUAUGGGGGGACCAUCCUCCAAGGCUAAAUACUCCUGACUGACCGAUAGUGAACCAGUACCGUGAGGGAAAGGCGAAAAGAACCCCGGCGAGGGGAGUGAAAAAGAACCUGAAACCGUGUACGUACAAGCAGUGGGAGCACGCUUAGGCGUGUGACUGCGUACCUUUUGUAUAAUGGGUCAGCGACUUAUAUUCUGUAGCAAGGUUAACCGAAUAGGGGAGCCGAAGGGAAACCGAGUCUUAACUGGGCGUUAAGUUGCAGGGUAUAGACCCGAAACCCGGUGAUCUAGCCAUGGGCAGGUUGAAGGUUGGGUAACACUAACUGGAGGACCGAACCGACUAAUGUUGAAAAAUUAGCGGAUGACUUGUGGCUGGGGGUGAAAGGCCAAUCAAACCGGGAGAUAGCUGGUUCUCCCCGAAAGCUAUUUAGGUAGCGCCUCGUGAAUUCAUCUCCGGGGGUAGAGCACUGUUUCGGCAAGGGGGUCAUCCCGACUUACCAACCCGAUGCAAACUGCGAAUACCGGAGAAUGUUAUCACGGGAGACACACGGCGGGUGCUAACGUCCGUCGUGAAGAGGGAAACAACCCAGACCGCCAGCUAAGGUCCCAAAGUCAUGGUUAAGUGGGAAACGAUGUGGGAAGGCCCAGACAGCCAGGAUGUUGGCUUAGAAGCAGCCAUCAUUUAAAGAAAGCGUAAUAGCUCACUGGUCGAGUCGGCCUGCGCGGAAGAUGUAACGGGGCUAAACCAUGCACCGAAGCUGCGGCAGCGACACUAUGUGUUGUUGGGUAGGGGAGCGUUCUGUAAGCCUGUGAAGGUGUGCUGUGAGGCAUGCUGGAGGUAUCAGAAGUGCGAAUGCUGACAUAAGUAACGAUAAAGCGGGUGAAAAGCCCGCUCGCCGGAAGACCAAGGGUUCCUGUCCAACGUUAAUCGGGGCAGGGUGAGUCGACCCCUAAGGCGAGGCCGAAAGGCGUAGUCGAUGGGAAACAGGUUAAUAUUCCUGUACUUGGUGUUACUGCGAAGGGGGGACGGAGAAGGCUAUGUUGGCCGGGCGACGGUUGUCCCGGUUUAAGCGUGUAGGCUGGUUUUCCAGGCAAAUCCGGAAAAUCAAGGCUGAGGCGUGAUGACGAGGCACUACGGUGCUGAAGCAACAAAUGCCCUGCUUCCAGGAAAAGCCUCUAAGCAUCAGGUAACAUCAAAUCGUACCCCAAACCGACACAGGUGGUCAGGUAGAGAAUACCAAGGCGCUUGAGAGAACUCGGGUGAAGGAACUAGGCAAAAUGGUGCCGUAACUUCGGGAGAAGGCACGCUGAUAUGUAGGUGAAGUCCCUCGCGGAUGGAGCUGAAAUCAGUCGAAGAUACCAGCUGGCUGCAACUGUUUAUUAAAAACACAGCACUGUGCAAACACGAAAGUGGACGUAUACGGUGUGACGCCUGCCCGGUGCCGGAAGGUUAAUUGAUGGGGUUAGCCGCAAGGCGAAGCUCUUGAUCGAAGCCCCGGUAAACGGCGGCCGUAACUAUAACGGUCCUAAGGUAGCGAAAUUCCUUGUCGGGUAAGUUCCGACCUGCACGAAUGGCGUAAUGAUGGCCAGGCUGUCUCCACCCGAGACUCAGUGAAAUUGAACUCGCUGUGAAGAUGCAGUGUACCCGCGGCAAGACGGAAAGACCCCGUGAACCUUUACUAUAGCUUGACACUGAACAUUGAGCCUUGAUGUGUAGGAUAGGUGGGAGGCUUAGAAGUGUGGACGCCAGUCUGCAUGGAGCCGACCUUGAAAUACCACCCUUUAAUGUUUGAUGUUCUAACGUUGACCCGUAAUCCGGGUUGCGGACAGUGUCUGGUGGGUAGUUUGACUGGGGCGGUCUCCUCCUAAAGAGUAACGGAGGAGCACGAAGGUUGGCUAAUCCUGGUCGGACAUCAGGAGGUUAGUGCAAUGGCAUAAGCCAGCUUGACUGCGAGCGUGACGGCGCGAGCAGGUGCGAAAGCAGGUCAUAGUGAUCCGGUGGUUCUGAAUGGAAGGGCCAUCGCUCAACGGAUAAAAGGUACUCCGGGGAUAACAGGCUGAUACCGCCCAAGAGUUCAUAUCGACGGCGGUGUUUGGCACCUCGAUGUCGGCUCAUCACAUCCUGGGGCUGAAGUAGGUCCCAAGGGUAUGGCUGUUCGCCAUUUAAAGUGGUACGCGAGCUGGGUUUAGAACGUCGUGAGACAGUUCGGUCCCUAUCUGCCGUGGGCGCUGGAGAACUGAGGGGGGCUGCUCCUAGUACGAGAGGACCGGAGUGGACGCAUCACUGGUGUUCGGGUUGUCAUGCCAAUGGCACUGCCCGGUAGCUAAAUGCGGAAGAGAUAAGUGCUGAAAGCAUCUAAGC
Molecule: ribosomal RNA, 2760 nt
Filed under: Escherichia coli
Lineage: Bacteria; Pseudomonadati; Pseudomonadota; Gammaproteobacteria; Enterobacterales; Enterobacteriaceae
Description: partial 23S ribosomal RNA
Rfam family: Bacterial large subunit ribosomal RNA
Source: RNAcentral